CGGACGGGUGAGUAACACGUGGAUAACCUACCUAUAAGACUGGGAUAACUUCGGGAAACCGGAGCUAAUACCGGAUAAUAUUUUGAACCGCAUGGUUCAAAAGUGAAAGACGGUCUUGCGGUGUCACUUAUAGAUGGAUCCGCGCUGCAUUAGCUAGUUGGUAAGGUAACGGCUUACCAAGGCAACGAUGCAUAGCCGACCUGAGAGGGUGAUCGGCCACACUGGAACUGAGACACGGCCCAG
Molecule: ribosomal RNA, 243 nt
Filed under: uncultured Staphylococcus sp.
Lineage: Bacteria; Bacillati; Bacillota; Bacilli; Caryophanales; Staphylococcaceae
Description: partial 16S ribosomal RNA
Rfam family: Bacterial small subunit ribosomal RNA
Source: RNAcentral